GCUGCAUACACAAUUAGAACUUUACUAAUUAUUCAUACCAAAUAUAUAAAAAGUCAAACAUACAAGGUUAAUUUAGGGACAAAGGGUUGCCAAGAAAGUACCACCUACUCUUUCACUGGGACAUUUAAACAGUGAUAAGAAGGAACAUGUAAUUUUGUUUUUGACAUUUUAAGUAUGAAAACUUAAGAGUAAUGAAAGGUCCUACUUUCUGUUACGAACCUUGCCUCCCUGAGCUCUAGGACCUGGAUUUUUUUCCCCGAAUAUGUCACCCCAUUGGUAGCUAACAUUUAUUGAGUAGUGAACAGGAUGCCUUAAUUUCUCUCCAUUUUCAUUUUACAAGUGAAUGCGUGGAACCCCAGCAGGUUUCCUAUUCCCGCCCAACUGCAGCAAGCCAGCAAAUUUCUUAAACCUAAGAUUCUUUGUGAAGAGAUGUGUUUUGCAGCUUUCCAAGCCUCUGUCUUCCAGGCCAGAACACUUGUCUCCCAGAUUGGCAAGAGAGGUUCAGGGAGUGCUACGGCCAGGUAAUUUCCUGUAAUUUUUUUAAACCGGCUUUUCAAUGGAAAUGGCACUGGGGCUGCUGUCCUGCUUAUGAAAAGGAAGCCCAAGUGUGACAGCUUGCUCACAGAGAAGCCGGCAUUUCUCUGAGGUACUGUUCUAGCUUCUGGGAAGACAGCUGCAAACGAACCAGGAGAAGUACCCACCCUAUACAGCUAACCCCAGGUAGAGGGCAAGGAUCCCUGCAUCUUGGAGAGGAUAGGAUUUUGACUCUGAUCCCCGAGGCUGAUUGAUUUUAUGAGCCAAAAUAUUAUUCCUCUUGGCCUGCGAUUGGUGUACAAGUGGCACGUGGCUUGUCUAAGAAUGAAGUCCACGAGCAUGGGGAAUCGUUGCUGAGCUCACUGCGUAUGGAUCAAGUAAUUGGCAGAGCUGUGCCCAGCGAAUACUUGCCGGAUGAGUGAAUGAGUGAAGUCAUGGUGGACCAGAUCCCUCUAACUAAGCUUUCCCCAGCGUGUGGGUGGACCAGCAGGAAAGACAGCAAAUCAGCAGUUUGCACAUUUAGAUGCUUGGAUGGUUUGUCAAGAAAAUGCACAGAAUCAUAGUUUUUUUUAAAAAGUUCAUCUUUUACAGCAGAAAGUUUUGCAGUACAAGCAAGGAUCUUAAGAACCCAGAAACAGGAAGCAGAUUUAAGUAUUUACUGACCACGGAGUGGUCUUUUCUGUAUUAAAGCUAAUCUCGCGUGUUGACGAUGUGCAGAACUGACAGCAGAUUCCGCUGAGGCUUUAUGUCUAGAACGGACUCCAGAGCUCGAAGCCCUCCGUGGAGUUACUCAAGCCUCAAGUUUUCAUGGUCUCCUGUCAGGUUUCCGAGGAAGGGCUCCUGGGGUGAAAGGCUCUCUGUGCUUCUGCCUGCCUUGGCCCCUGCUCUCACUCUGCCCAUUUCACUGGUGGCCGCAUGCUGGGUGUGCAGAUGUCAGUGGGCUGCCCUUGUCAUCUCGGGCUCACUGACAGGUGCUGACCCCUUCUCCACGGUGAACAUGCCCGGCCUGAGGUGGCCGCUGUCCCCACCAUGCCUAAGUAAGGCCUUCUCUCUCUAGUGUCCCUUUGCUCAGUUGCAACGGAGCGGGGUAGGGCUGCUCAGAGUGACUUGAGCCUUCAUGGGCAUUGCUUUCUGCUUUGCACUGAGUCCCAGGGAUGAGAGCUCAUUGUCUGUCUCUUCCUCUUCCUGUUUCUUUUUCCCGCCCUCCCCCCACACCUGAAAGGCUAGCUGAUUGCAUCUUAUAAUUUUGCUUCCAUGGUUCUCCUACCUUGCCCUGCAAGCAGGACAGACAGGUCUGCAUGUAUUUGGACAGCAGUAAACAGGAUUAAAAUUCCUUUCCACUCAACUUCUGGGUCCUAUGAGAAUUUGUGAAUCCAGGAGGUUUGUGUGGGUAGAGGGCCAGGGAAAACAAGGCCACUCCUGCUUCAGCGUAUCAUGCAAGAGAGGCGCCCUGACCCGGGCUGGCAGCUUGCCUUUGGCUCCGUUUGUUCUCUGAGGUUUGACAACUCACCUCUCUUCUCUGGAAAGCAGUUCCUUCAUUUGUGAAGUGAGCAUAAUGGCAAUAUCUAAAUGAUUAAUAUACUAAGAGCAUGUGGAUCACUCAGAGCUCAAAGAAGUCCUCAGAAGCUAACAUAUGUAAUCAUUGUUAUCAUGCUUUUAUCUUACCCUUCACCCAUUUUCAUGAUUAUCCCUGUCAUCAUCAUUGUGACCAUCACCACCCUCCUCCUCACCACCAUCAUCAUCAUCAUCAUCAUCAUCAUUGUCUCCUCGAACCUAAAUGAAAUGUCUCUAAACUCUAGAUUUCUACCCAGACUCAAUUAUUUUAUUGUCCCAACACAGUAUGGAGUAUCCUCUGGGGGAGAAAAUGUCAACUUCCUAAGACACAAUUGUUAAUUUAUUAAGAAUAUUAAAAAUUAGAGUGACAGAGUUGCUUAUUGCAGUUCAUGCCUCCAAUAAAUGAGACUGAGUUACCUUUUCUUAGAAAGGUAGUGUCUAGAAAAAUGCUUAAAUUUCAACUAGGAAAUGCAGUGUGCGUAAUUAGAAUCUCGGAGACUGUAUUAUAAAAUUCCUGUCCAGAAAAGAAACAUCUUCAACAUUUUUUCUCUUCUCCAUUUGCUAUCUAAAGGCUUUGUCCUUUAAGUCCAGAUGCUGAAGGGGAAAAGAGAUCAUUUCUAGGCACAAUAACUCAAAAUUAAAAUGCUACAUAUUGUCUAGGAAUUGUAUGGGAUUUUAAAAAAUCUCUCUGUUCCUACAUGGGAGAGAUAUGUGUAGUGAUGUUGGCGACAUUCAUAAAGCUGUAGACAGAGCAUUUGGAAGCUGGCCUUGGUGAGAAAUAUUGGAAAAGGAUGCAAUCUGCCAAAAUGAUACUCUGAGGAACUGAAAAUCAAUAAAUUGAAAUAGAGAAAAGUGGACGUAAAUUUGGAACCCAAAGUUUGAGAUCCAUCACUUCCGAGACAGAGCAGUGUGAAACAGACAAGAAUUUUUCUUUGUGAUACUUUAAUACUUUAGCACAAUUAUUCUUGGUAGACAUUCGGGGCUCUUGUUUUUCAUAUUUGUGUGUGUGUGUGUUUGCUUUUUUAUAAAUAUAGUUUCUCAUUCUUAAGAGGUAGAGAGAUUAAGUUUUUGAGUUAACUUUUUGUUUUGAAAUGAUUUUAAAUUUACAGAAAAGGAGUCUAACAAUAUAGUUAUCUGUGACAGCCCUUUAUCUUCAUCUGCUUUCUGCUUCUGUAAUAGAAUACCUGCUGCUUGAUAGCUUAUAGAGGCUGGAGACUUGUGUAGCUUACUUUUCUAGAGGCUGGAAGUCCAGGGUUAGCUGGCUGCAUCUGACAAGGGCCAUAUGCUCAUCGUGCCAUGCAACCAAACUGAAAAUCACAUUCAAGAUGCAGUUUUGCUUUAUGACAACCUGCUCUCGCAGUAACUGGUCUAGUGGCCUUAUACAGGCAUUAAUCCCACCUAAUGACCUCAUCACCUCUGAAAACUCCAUUUUCUAACAUUGCUGCAGUAGCAAUCAAAUUUCCACAUGAGUUUAGAGGGAACAAACAGCAUCCAAACCAUAACUCCCGCAGUGAGGUUCCCAAAUGAUUGGCACUUUAGACUGUGUGUAUUGUAUUGCCAUUCAGUUCAUGUUUUUCAUAUAUAUACAAACAAGUAUGCACACAUAUAUGUAGUAAUAUGUGUAUGUAUACUUAUAACAUGUUACCGUAAUAUACAUAAUAUGCACACAUACAAUAUACAUAAUACUAUGGAUUUUUCCUGACACAUUAGAGAUCUUAUUAUCUUUUUUUUUUUUUUGUCUUUUUCAUUUUUAUCGGUACUAGGGAUCGAACUCACGACUGCCUGCUUACAAAGCAGGCGCUCAUGCCGCUGAGCUAAAUCCCCAGCCCCGAGAUCUUAUUAUCUCUUAAUUCUUCAAUGUACAGUUUAUGUAGUGGAGCAAGGACAUUGUCUUACAUAUUUACACUCAAAUUGUUAAAACUGAGGAGUUAGCAAUUAAAACAUUACCAGUUAAUCCACGUUUAAAUUCUAUUCAAAUUUUGCUAGUGGUCCUAAUGUAAUAUCUUCCAGGAAGUCCAGGAUUCAAUCCAAGGUCCAAUGACCCAAAACAAGAUCACACGUUACAUUUAGCAGUUCUGUUUCCUCAGUCUUCUUCAGCAUGGAACAGUUCCCUAGACAUUUCUUGUCUUUAUAGCCUUGGCAUUUUUAAAACUAUUUUGUAGAAUGUCCUCAAAUAGAGGUUCAUCUCAUCUUUUCUUCAGAUUUUUGCACUUUUGGCAGAAGUACCCGGAAGUGAUGUUGUGUUCUUUUCAGUGUAUCAUUUCUGUAGGCACAUGAUGUCAAAAUGUUUCAUGCUUGAUGCUAUUUAAUUUUUAUCACUUAGUUUUGAUAUUUUGCAAGUUUCUUCAUUGUAAGGUUACUUAAUGGGUGUUUUGUUCCUAUUAAAAUUUAAACAAUUUAUGAGGAACACUUUGAGACUAUUAUAUAUUAUUCCUCUUCGUGCUUUUACCUACAAAUUUUAUCACCUUUGAUGACUUUAGCUAUAUAUACAAAUACUGACUCAGAAUCCUGUUUUAGACAGUGGGUUAUAAUUUGUUGUUAUUAUUGUUAUUACUUAUACUAUUGUUCUAUAGUUUGAUGACCGGAAUAUCCCAGGCUUUGCCAAUAAAAGCCCCAUCAUGCUGGGCUCUUCCUGACCUGUCUUGAUUUCUCAAACAUUUGCUUACUUUCUUGUACAAGGCAUUCUAGGCUAAUCUAUUUCCUUGCCCACUCAGAGUUUAGUCCCUAGGUUUCCUUUAGUGCAGAAUGCGACUUUGAAUUCAAGGCCUGAAUAGCUUGAUACUUGUUGAUAUCGUAGUGUUGUCACAUCAAGACCCUUUGUGCAAACAGAAUCGGGAAAUACACCCGGAUGGAUGUACCCGACCUGCGACUCCAUCCGUUUGUGUUUAAUUAGGUUUAAAACUCAUGGCUCUGCACUACUAACCCCAAUCCCAAUUCAGUACUACAAGGUAACUACUACCAUUUGCCCUUUCCCUUUGUAACUCUUUCUCCAAAAGUGAGAAAAUUACUUCCUAAUAUUUCUUUAUUAAUUGAGCUGUUCAUUUGCUCAACAUAAACAGCAUCCUGACUUUACAGGUCUUUUCUCCUAUCUAAUGAUGCUAACCACCCUGGCAUCCCUCAGUGUGCCAGCUGAUGGUUCAGUUCGAAUCUUGGGGUGUGGGAUGGGGAGAGAGACUCUUUGCACAACUGUUGUUCAUGAUGUUUGUAAUGGAUUGUGUCAACUCCAGUAGUUUAAAAACUUAACUAACUUGACUCAGCAAUUCUGGGGUGUAGGGGAACCACCCUGGCCCAGCUCCCCUGGAUGGUAGAACCAGGAAAUGAGGAAGGAUGGACUCACUUCUGUUCUUCAGAGGAGCUCCAGACUUCGCCUUCACCUCUCCUUUCCUCCAGUCCAGACUCUUCCGGUUCUAUAUCAGAUCCUUCAGCCUUCUGGGACACUCUUCAGCCUCCCCUCGCAGACCUGUCAGCCUCCUGACAUGGACGUGCAUAGACACUGCAGUGAGCUCCAGACCUUGGACUAAGACCUUCAGUCUCCAGUGUGCGACACCGUCUGCAAGCUUCCUCAUCCAGCUCUGGCUGACCAUCAUAAGCCAAUCUUGUAAUUUCUUAUCCAUUUGAAUAUCUCAUGCUAUGUCUGUUUCUUUAGUAAACCCUGACUGAUACAGUGAUUGAAAAUUUUGAUUUCAUAAAAUCUGUCCUUUCUUUCAUAUUGUUAUUGUAUUAUAAGGUAGAUCUAUCUAUUUCUCCAUCCUUUUUACCUACCAUCUGUACAAAUAAUGACUCAGAAUCCUGUUUUUAGUCAAUAGGUUAUAAUUUAUUAUUAAUAUUGCAUAUUUUGGUGACUGAACUACCAUCAAAUGUUACAACAUCGUGUAGAAAUGGCAUAGUGAAAUAAAAGACUGAAAUUCUGUUUAAAAUGUUCUGUCACUUGAGAUAGCCAUGUGAGACCACACAUUUCACCUGACUUAUGCUAAGCACAAUUCUCCCGUUAAUAAAGAGUAUCAUACGA
Cavia porcellus (domestic guinea pig) is the source of this 6097-nucleotide long non-coding RNA. RefSeq lists it as uncharacterized. Lineage: Eukaryota; Metazoa; Chordata; Mammalia; Rodentia; Caviidae. The record is from RefSeq and is a predicted model, not a curated record. The transcript is spliced from 6 exons.